CAUUGAGCCUUGAUGUGUAGGAUAGGUGGGAGGCUUUGAAGUGUGGACGCCAGUCUGCAUGGAGCCGACCUUGAAAUACCACCCUUUAAUGUUUGAUGUUCUAACGUUGACCCGUAAUCCGGGUUGCGGACAGUGUCUGGUGGGUAGUUUGACUGGGGCGGUCUCCUCCUAAAGAGUAACGGAGGAGCACGAAGGUUGGCUAAUCCUGGUCGGACAUCAGGAGGUUAGUGCAAUGGCAUAAGCCAGCUUGACUGCGAGCGUGACGGCGCGAGCAGGUGCGAAAGCAGGUCAUAGUGAUCCGGUGGUUCUGAAUGGAAGGGCCAUCGCUCAACGGAUAAAAGGUACUCCGGGGAUAACAGGCUGAUACCGCCCAAGAGUUCAUAUCGACGGCGGUGUUUGGCACCUCGAUGUCGGCUCAUCACAUCCUGGGGCUGAAGUAGGUCCCAAGGGUAUGGCUGUUCGCCAUUUAAAGUGGUACGCGAGCUGGGUUUAGAACGUCGUGAGACAGUUCGGUCCCUAUCUGCCGUGGGCGCUGGAGAACUGAGGGGGGCUGCUCCUAGUACGAGAGGACCGGAGUGGACGCAUCACUGGUGUUCGGGUUGUCAUGCCAAUGGCACUGCCCGGUAGCUAAAUGCGGAAGAGAUAAGUGCUGAAAGCAUCUAAGCACGAAACUUGCCCCGAGAUGAGUUCUCCCUGACUCCUUGAGAGUCCUGAAGGAACGUUGAAGACGACGACGUUGAUAGGCCGGGUGUGUAAGCGCAGCGAUGCGUUGAGCUAACCGGUACUAAUGAACCGUGAGG
This 800-nucleotide ribosomal RNA is filed under the name Escherichia coli. RNAcentral describes it as "partial 23S ribosomal RNA". It matches the Rfam family "Bacterial large subunit ribosomal RNA", at positions 2122 to 2916 of the family's 2925-position model. Lineage: Bacteria; Pseudomonadati; Pseudomonadota; Gammaproteobacteria; Enterobacterales; Enterobacteriaceae. The record is from RNAcentral.